This 1444-nucleotide long non-coding RNA is filed under the name Homo sapiens (human). Its description in RNAcentral is "PREDICTED lncRNA (TCONS_00182878)". The record is from RNAcentral. Lineage: Eukaryota; Metazoa; Chordata; Mammalia; Primates; Hominidae.
GCCGGGGCGUCCCCCGCGGGAGCCCGCAGCCACCCGGGACGCGCAUCCAGACGUGGCGCUUCGGACCGGGCACGCUGCGCCCGGGGGCUCGGCGGACCCCGCGUAGCCGCCGCUUCGGAGCUUGUGCGGCGCGGGCUGGCCAGCGGGGCGGCCAGGGCCCGGCCCGCCUCCCCAGCGCCCGCCCGGCUUCUCCCCCUGGCGGUGGGAGCCUCGGCGGCCGCUGGCGACACUAGGCGCACUGAAGCCCGAGCCGAGCCGAGCCCGAGCCGCCGCCGCCGCCGCCGCUGCUGCGCACCGCUCCCGGGCUCCCUCCCAGCGCGCCGGCCGGGGUGUGGGGGGCGGCGGGCCGGAGGGGCGAGGGCGGGCCAGGGGGCGCACACGGGGGUUGGCGCGGAAGACAGGACCCUCAGCCUCGAGGGAGCCCCUAGGUGACCAGGCAAAAUGGCAGUUCCUUCCAGCUGGUCCUCAGAUGGGCACAUCUAUUAGCCUCUGCUCUUGUAAGAAGUUAGCUGCAGAACCCACAUGUGAAUCCUUGUAGGACUCUGGAGAAGAUCAAAUGGGAGCUUAGAUGUGGAAGCUCUUUGGAAACCAAGAAACACUCUGAAAAUGAAAAGGAUACCAACUUCAUCUCUCUUUAAGAAUACAAUAUUAGUUUAAAAGAUUGUUCAACUUAAAGCAAUCUUGUAGAGAUUGUCACCCAUGAUUGAUGCUGGGUGGAAGAGUAAACUGUUCCUGUUUCUCCAUCUUGACAGGAAGCAGAAGUUCUCCUUAGCUGAUUUUUCUUCUUGCCUUAUACUGGGUUCUUUAACACCAGAACAAAAAUAAAUAAAUAAAAGAAUCUUCCAGAAAUUCAUGAAGAGACUUCAGGUCAGGAAAGCCUGAACUUUCUCAUCCAACACCCGUUCAAGUCGGAGGAUGCUGAUUAAUUCAUGAUGGAAAGGUAUCAAUUUCACAGCCCAGACCUCUACAUUCUUGAAAUGCUCUUCUCAUGGGAGACAUUAAAUAAGCUUUGAAUUAACUAAAAAUAUCCAACCCGAGCAGGAUAAAACUGAUCAUCCUGAGGAUAUUGCCCUUGGAGUUAAUUUUUUGAGAGAAAUAAAACAAUAAACAUCAUAAGACACAAACCCCAAGCAACUGAUCUCACUGUUAAAAUCCAACCUGAGAACAAUGGAAUGGGUAAGUAGAAUAUUUAUUUAUUAAAAGGGCAACAUCUCAGAAAUGAAAUUACAAUUUAGUUGGGAUAAAUUGUCUUAUAACUUCAUUUUUUUACAUUAAAGCUAUAAUUGAGGGGUAUUAUAUGCUGUUUAUCACUGCAAUGAAAAUGUAGUCAGAAUGAACUUCUCGAGGCUGUUAAACUGCCUCUUAUUAGCAUUGAAACUAUACUCACAGCCUAUUAUCUUAGGCUAUAUUUUUUGGUAUAAGGGAAUUGCUAUCAAAGUGUACU